GACGAACGCUGGCGGCGUGCUUAACACAUGCAAGUCGAACGGAAAGGCCCUGCUUUUGUGGGGUGCUCGAGUGGCGAACGGGUGAGUAACACGUGAGUAACCUGCCCUUGACUUUGGGAUAACUUCAGGAAACUGGGGCUAAUACCGGAUAGGAGCUCCUGCUGCAUGGUGGGGGUUGGAAAGUUUCGGCGGUUGGGGAUGGACUCGCGGCUUAUCAGCUUGUUGGUGGGGUAGUGGCUUACCAAGGCUUUGACGGGUAGCCGGCCUGAGAGGGUGACCGGCCACAUUGGGACUAAGAUACGGCCCAGACUCCUACGGGAGGCAGCGGUGGGGAAUAUUGCGCAGUGGGCGGACGCCUGAUGCGGCAACGCCGCGUGCGGGAUGACGGCCUUCGGGUUGUAAACCGCUUUCGCCUGUGACGAAGCGUGAGUGACGGUAAUGGGUAAAGAAGCACCGGCUAACUACGUG
This 468-nucleotide ribosomal RNA is filed under the name uncultured bacterium. RNAcentral's name for it is "partial 16S ribosomal RNA". It matches the Rfam family "Bacterial small subunit ribosomal RNA", at positions 28 to 507 of the family's 1533-position model. The record is from RNAcentral.